CCACAACGGUUACUAAAGAGUCCAAGUUUCUAUCAAAAUCAAAGCAUCUAUCGUUCUGUCCCACAACAUUACACUCAUUUUCUUCCACUUCUUCCUCCCUCUCCCUAAAAUCUCCAUUUGUGUUCUUCUUGUAAUCGAUUCCAAAGCGUGUUGACCACAUUCAAGAUAUCUAUUUUUUUCAAAUUCAGGUACGUACUUAGACCUUGAUUUUAUUAUAUUUUGGUCUUCAUAUGUAUUUAUGAUGUUGUUGUUGUUGUAUUGGUCUUCAUAUGUAUUUAUGAUGUUGUUGUUGUUGUUGUUGUUGUAUUGGUCUUCAUAUGUAUUUAUAACUGCUUGACGGUUAUUUCCGAGUGCAAGGCUGCAGACAUGACGACUCAGAACCUGAGAGCCACAAAGGAGAUAUUCCAACCAUGAAACCAGUAUGGAAACACCUUUCAAUGAUUUACAUACAAGGAACACUCGGUUUUUUCGUUCUCUUUUUUCCCUAAACAUACAAGACAUACUCUAUUUUCAUUCUAUUUCCCCCCCUAAUUUUGACAAAUUUCGUUAUUAACAUUGUACUGUCAUUCUCCAUUUCCUGCAGUAGAGAACAACAACAACUGAACUGGUGAUUUACUUUAUUCUUCAACACUUUUAAAAGGCAGGUCAAUUUUUCAAUUUUCAAAUGUGAAGGCAUAUGUCGUAUAUUAAUUUGGUUAGUGUAAACACCGGUAUGAAUAAUUUUAUACCAUCCUUUUCCUCCUUCUUUUGCUUUUCCCCCCACAACUUUAAAUAAUUUGGUUUCUUUCUUCUUGCAUGUUGUUAAUAAUGUUUAUCACUUGUGUAAUUACUCUAAUUAUUAAUCGUAUUACCUUAGCAAUUUCAAAAGUCAAUUUCUUAAUCCUCUUUUGGGAGGCCAAAAGCACUUUUUUAAUUAAAAAAAAUAAUCUUAUUUUAGAAAGGUGAGGUGUUUAGCCAAGCUUUUGAAAGAAAAAAAGUGUUUCUGGGAGUAGCAGAAGCUGUUUUUCAAAAGCUAAAAGAAGUAGCUUUUCUCCAAAAGCACUUUUGAGAAAAUAUAGAAGCACUUUUAAAAGUUUGGCUAAACACUUAAUUGCUACUCAAAAAUGAGUUUUAAAUUAAUUUGGUCAAACACAAGAGACGGAGGGGGUAUUCAUUUGAAAUCUCAAAUGCAUUCUUUAAUUUUUGUAUAUAUAACCCAAACAGGACAACAUGAGUUGGCACUGGCACUAUGAUAAGAACUGAUAUGUUUUGAUGACAUGACAAAUCCUAAGGAACCAGAUACAAUUAGAUUCACUUGUUUGAACGUGGUUAACCUUAUGAUAUCUCAUAUGUUGUUUUCUAACAUGCUCCUUGAAGGAUCAAAUGCCUGCAGGAUUUGCUCAUAUAUGAGAGACCAGAUAUGUUGAUUCAGAAGGAUUAGAUGGGAUUGGGUGUCCCGCCUACUUAGCUAACAAUGCAGCUGUAGAGAUACUGACAAUGUAUCCAGUACUUACAACUUGUUCGAAGAACUGAUAAGGAACCAGGUUCCUCCAGGUAAAGGUCCUGGUCACUGAAUCUGAAAGUACAAAUACACAGCUGUAAAGCGUGCUGCUAAAAAAUAUAAUGCAGUUGUACAACAGUACCUCAGCAAGGCCGAUUGAUUAACGGUCCAGAUUUCAUCAGCUGUCGUCUCUACUCUCUUUCUCUCUCCGUGCAUAUAAGGACAUCAUCUUCCAAGAGAAGACUCAUUCUUGCACAAUCCGAAAAUUGCUCCAUCCAAAGUGCAAGUCUCCACCUUUCAAGGUUGGUGAUUGGAAGAGAACGAGGAAGUAAAUGGUGACGAGGACAGCGAAGAGGAGGAAGAAACAUGAAAGGAAAAAUUGAUACGAAAUUAAGCAACUUGAAUUUGACAGUAACAAUACACCUUGUAUAGACUUUUUAAAAAAUUCUAUGGACUUAGAAUAACACAUUUUCACAAAUGUAGCUCCUGCAAACUUAUUUUCCCUGUUUUCUCCUUUUGUAGCACUUUGUUCCUCAGAAGACGAAGCUUGAA
Long non-coding RNA from Lycium barbarum (goji berry), 2032 nucleotides. RefSeq lists it as uncharacterized. The record is from RefSeq and is a predicted model, not a curated record. The transcript has 3 exons. Lineage: Eukaryota; Viridiplantae; Streptophyta; Magnoliopsida; Solanales; Solanaceae.